GUGAUUGCUUUGGCAGCACAUAUACUAAAAUUGGAAUGAUACAGGGAAGAUUAGCAUGGCCCCUGCACAAGGAUGACACGCAAAAUCAUGAAGCAUACCAUAUUUAA
Molecule: small nuclear RNA, 107 nt
Filed under: Vombatus ursinus (common wombat)
Lineage: Eukaryota; Metazoa; Chordata; Mammalia; Diprotodontia; Vombatidae
Source: RNAcentral